RNAcentral lists this ribosomal RNA (253 nucleotides) under uncultured bacterium. RNAcentral describes it as "partial 16S ribosomal RNA". It matches the Rfam family "Bacterial small subunit ribosomal RNA", at positions 524 to 776 of the family's 1533-position model. The record is from RNAcentral.
UACGUAGGGGGCAAGCGUUGUCCGGAAUCAUUGGGCGUAAAGAGCGUGUAGGCGGUCCUGUCAGUCGGUUGUGAAAGUCAAGGGCUCAACCCUUGAAUGCCGGCCGAUACUGCCGGGCUAGAGUCCGGAAGAGGUGAGUGGAAUUCCUGGUGUAGCGGUGAAAUGCGCAGAUAUCAGGAGGAACACCAGUGGCGAAGGCGACUUCCUGGCCUGUUCUUGACGCUGAGACACGAAAGCCAGGGGAGCAAACGGG